GUGAAGGAAAUUCCAAAAUUCUGUCUCAGCAAAAGGUCAAUAAAGUCAGGGAAAUACUUGGGCCCAUCUUAAGUUCUCUCAAGCGGAAAUGGAAAUUGAUUUUUUUGGCGCCUUUUGCCAACGAGUUAAGUUUUAUUAGCAGAUUAUCUAUAGCACAGGAAACCAAAAAGACAAUGAAGGAAACGAUGGAAAGAAAAGUGCUUUCGCCUCUCUCGGCCCUAGAGAAAAUUGGUAAGUCGGAGGGUUGUUUUUCUCUUAUGUAAUGUAUAGGGACCCAGAUAAAGAUCACGGCGUUUCGAUCGUGUACGUUUGAUAUAUGUCAUUGUUGAGCUGCAAUUGGUUGAUUUCGAUCACGUCUUGAUGACCAGUCACCUAGUGAAUUUCUUUGUAAUUAUAUCAUCAUUCUACGCGAAUCUGUGUGUUCUUCGACAUGCUCUUUUCUCCUCGCAUCCAAACGUUUUAUCAUCGGUUGUUUGAUCAUCUUCAGCUCGUUAUUCCGUCCUCUGCAGCAUCAAAUGAAAUUUUGUUUUACCGGAUAUGCGAUAGGGCAUAUAAACUAAACGAGAUGCACGUGUCUUCGAAGCUCUGAUCUUUCGAAGGAGCCUUGUCCAAUACAACCUCAUUCCAACGUAAGCAACGCAAACCGACGAUUCGUCCUUAUGAGGUGUAAGUAAACUACAUGAUUGGUGCGGUAUCGCCUAAUUUUUAAUCCUUUGAAUUGCCAAGUUUAAUAGCUCCAACGAAAAUACUCUCCAUUAAUUAACGAGAUAAAAUCGUUGUCAAUCGAUCCUGGUAUGGCAUUUAUUAUUCUGCAAUUAUAUUGAGUUCUUUGCGGUUUGACCUUUACGUUCAUUUGGUGGAAAAGCGUGAAUUCCUUUUAUUCAUAGUAUCUUGUUAAUCGCAUUAGCCGAGUGAGCCAACAAAAAUGAACAUGCUUUAGGUUUUUAACACACUACACUUGUAGAUAAUUGAGACUAGUAUUGCAGCCGGACAUGUAUAACGGGGACAACACUGACUGGAUGCACAAGGUACACCCAUUUUUUUUUUUUUUUUAAUCGCACCAUGUAUUCGACUACAGGUAUUUUAGAUGUUUUAUUACAAGCAUCAAGUUCGACAAUAGAAAGUCUUGAUUUCAUAACAAAUAAAGGCAAUCACCGCCAGCACCUUAAUAGCUUGAGCCUUUUAACAUAAAGCCACGAUAAUUAAUAGGCGGAGUGUAAAGCAAUACAGGUCAGGCUCAGUAUUUCAAAUAUGCUUCUAAUAAUAACAAUUGACUUAUUUUAUUUUCUUCACACAAGAGACUAUAGUCUCAUGGUUCAUAUCAUGAGAAACAGAUUUCUCUCCCUGGCGAGAAGUACACCAAAAGGAUGGAAAAUAAAUUACAACUGGAUUUUUUGUUGUCUCGAGAGGAUUAUAUUUUUGAAGUUUCGGCUUUACAUUUAGCCACUUUUCAGUGUCAACAAAAUAAAAAACCUUAAUUACCAUCUAAUGAGCUAGAAAUUACCAAGGUGCUAUAUAUAUAUACAUCUGCGUCAAAACAUGUCGAGUGCUUUGUUUGUCAGAUUUUUUACAAAAAUGUCCUCUUUUCUCUGGAAGCAGUACACGCCAAUAACUGCUGUUUUGACAAGAACUGUUUACGACAGAAGAAAUCGCCGUAGAACUUUCUUAGGAGUGACCGUAGGUACGUUGUACGAUUAUUAUCUUGUUUUUCUUUGCUGUAAUAAAAUCGUCAGUCAUAAGUAGGGCUUUACUGCGCAAAGCUGGGAUAAACCUACAAUGCUUCAAAGGGAUUACCAAAGCACUGCCUUGCCCUCCAGUGGAGCUACUUAUGUUGUGCAGUACGCUUUUUUGAUAGUUGUAUCAGAUGGAAGAAAGCAGUAUAAGAGGUUCUUUCAAAUACGCUUGAAACAAGAAGGAUUAGCAGAACAUAACGGCUUAAAAUGCUACUUCCUUCCUUUCUGAUGCCGUUGCAUUUUCCAAGACAAAAAGUCUCGAAAUUUCCGCAUAACACCCCUACAUAGAAAACGUGAUGUUGUACCUGACUAAAUACGUCAUUCAGUGCAAUUGAAGGGGCCGCGGCCAUCGUCUUUGUGUUGCCGGCAUGAAAUGGAAGACUAAUGGAUUAUUAUUUUGAGCUGAUGUUCCUAAUUACCGAUCUUUGCCUGUCCACUUAAGAGUUGUCCAAAUACCAUUGAACAUCCUAUCAUUUCUAAUUUUGUUACUUCUGGAACGGAAUGUAGCAACGUUGUCGGAGAACAUGUGAUAGAAUAUAAAACUAACACUUGUCUUUGGUCGUGAGUCGGAAUGUAACAAACUAACUAACGAUAAAAAAUCUGUUGAAUACCCAAAUUGUUAAACAGAUUAGCACGAAGAAAGUUGCUCGCAUUCUGUGGUGUCGUUAAUUCCAGUGUAAGGAGUACAAAUGUCCCCUUAAUAAAAAUGAAUUAGCCACAUGUAGUAUAAGCGAUGAAUAGUUACAUGAUGAUAACGGCAUAAAUUAUCACUGCUGGCAUAAAGCGGCCUGACCUCAUCCAGUCACUUAAGACUGAACUAGGUUUUAUCAUAUGAGAUUUGCAAGAACUAAGAGGAAUACUUAACACGUGCGGUCAAGAGCUGAGUAAGUAUUUUCACGUUGUAGUACAGUACAUUGUCACAAUAAUCUUUUGAAGACACACAUCGUGCUACCGCUAUUGUAAUAGUCUUAAAAAGAGCAAAGGUCUAAGUUUUCUUCAUGAGAGGGGCACGUGAACCAAGCGAUUUCUACCAGUCUGCCGAGUCCUGCAUUUGUCCCUACCAGCAGGAUAUUCAGUUUUGGGAAAACAGAAAAUUUAUAACACGCGACGAAUCAAUGCAUUGGCAUAUUGUAUUUGUUCGUAUAUCCGAGAGAAGCAACCCUAAUCGCUACGCAAACCGUCUCGUGUCGAUUUACCAAGCGUUAGUUCAAUUUUUCUUGAGUCUGAUCAGUCUUCUUGCUUUGUUACUGCUUUUCUUCAGUCAGAUGAGGUUUUGUUUUACUUCUUCGCGUGUUUUACUUUUUUUGGAAGAACUAACCCUUGUCCAUCGUGGUUCUUUUCAGGAUUCAGCGUGGCAAAAAAGGGAAAAUAAACAAGUCUGCCUUCUUUGAAAUCAUUAUACCCCGAGAACAGUGGGUCGGUGCGUGAGUGAGAUGUCAAACUCUACGUUGUUACUAAGUGGAUAGUUUAGUGAAAUACCAGCGCUCUUGUCAUUUGAAUUCAUUUUAGCAGUGAGCCUCGCGCAGUAAACAUUAACUUGAGGACGAGAAGAAAAAGAAGAAGAAAGGAAUUGUCCCAAGUUUACAACAAUGGAACUGUCACUGAUUUACCUGCUUCUUACACUGAUCGAGACAACGUGUAACCCUUUCUGUGAAGCAAGCAACUGGCAGAACCCAAAACUUGCAAAGUGGUAUCGCCCGUCUGCAGUCACGGAAGGCUACACCGAGACUGAAGAUGGCACUUUAUACUUAAACAUUGAUGAAGAUAGUAACACAGUCCGUGAUUUAGCCAAAAAAGUCCUUUCUAUGCUUAAUCUUACCGAUGACAUUUCGGUGCAAGGGAUCUCUUUUACUCAAGUGGACUCCAGUCUUGGAAGGUCGCGAAGGGCGCCGGGGAUCUUUGGAAAGGACACCCGGGUAAACAUGCGAGCGUCUCUCGAGGCGCAAAUGUAUCCGUUCUCCACCGCCGUGAUGCUUUCUUCCGGUUGCACUGGCACCCUCAUAGGAGCUCAGCACGUGCUGACGGCCGCACAUUGCGUGCGCAGUGGAAAAAGACUGUUAAAGAGUGCUAAAAACUUGAAAGUUGGCUUGCUUCAACGUUCAGGAAAGUUCCACUGGAUCCGCGUGCAAAGAACAUAUGUGCCCAAAGAUUGGAAGACACAGACCCCGCCGAGAGACAGGCUGAGAUACGACUUUGCGGUUUUGAAACUCAAGCGUCAGCACAACAGGCAGCACAUGUCCGUGCAGACGAGCAGCCUCCUUCCCGGCUCAAAAAUUCAGUUUUCUGGCUUCCACGGUGAUAAGUGGUACAACUCGUUAUGGUACACGUACUGCCGGGUGUACAGAAAAUCGAAUGACAUGAUUCUCAACUUCUGUGAUGGUGCUAAAGGCGUCUCCGGAUCGGGAGUUUACGUAGAUACUCCUAGUGGUGAUGAAAACGCCGUCGUUGGUGUAGUAUCGGCAAUAGCCCGAGGAAAGGUCAAAGGCAAAGUGUUGGAGUUCAAUGUUAUAAAUUCCCUUACCAGUACCAAGGUGCGACAGAUUUCAAAAUGGGUUACCAGACGCUAAUAAAUCAAACUGGCGCCGUCCCAGAGGGCGUAAGCUAAUGCUUGAGAUGCAGAAUGGCCUUCCUCAUUGUCACUAGUUUGUCUCUGUCUACUAUAAACAGUAUUAAAAUGGAACAAAAUGACAAAAACAUUUAUGUUCGCUGUUCACAUUCACAAAUCACGGAGAAAACAUCCAAGGACUUCCAGCGUCAGCGCAAAGUACUCUUUCUCAGGAACAGUAAAGUAAUAAUUUGCUUUGCGGAAACCAGUAUUAGAACCAAGGAGAAAGGCAGAAAUUUGUAGCGUCGACAAUACAGUACUCAGUCAUCACACUAACUUUCGUGCCCUGGUGCACACGAGGCCAAAUUGACGUUACGUAUGUAUGUAUGCUCAUUUUAGUUGGAGGAUGGUUGUAAAUAUUAACUUAAAAGUGAUAUUUAUUAUUCAUGCCGAGGGAUAGAUGUUUCAGAUCUGAUCUCGGGUUGUGCUGUAUGUAGGUGAAUUAGCAGAUGCCGGUGUAAAAAGCUUGAAGAGGUUGGCAUAUGUAAUGAAGAUCAUCGCUCGACAUACCUCUAACUGUAAAUUUAACAUAGUUACAGAUUGUAGGUAUAUUACAGCCAAUUUUGCAAACAGAAGCUGUUCUUCGUCCAGGCCGCGGUAAACGUUUUUAUAUGACGUGGUGGUUGAUAGCCAGUAUUAUCGUUACAAAGCUGUAGGCCUAUAUCCUUGAUCAAAUCGGUGGACACAAGGGCUUUUUUUUUUUCGUUUAUCCUGAAUAUGUUUUGAACGUUAACGUUAUCUGCUUGUUCAAUGAAACCUAGUAAAUUCUAGCACUAUUCACCCUGCUUGGAACAGGCAUUCUAUGUCAGUGUUAACCUUAGUAAGAAAAUUUGUAAUAAAUUACAAACUGAUUACAACAUAAAAUGUUCCCUUCGUCUUUAUUGACACGGAAAGGAAGUCGAACUGAAGGGACAGUUAUGUAUUUGUAUGCAUAUAUAUAUAUAUAUCUUUUUUUUUUUUUUUUCCAAUUUCCCACUCAUCUGUGUCCUUUGUUUGCCGUGUGGUGAAACUUGGUUUUUCAAUUUAACGUCUAGUGUUCAAUUAAGCAGCGGGAAAUUAAAGCUGCCUCCAUUAUUUACGCCAACUAGACGUCGUAAAUGAAAUCGUACUAACUCCCUUAUUUUCUUUUUCUUGUUCGGUGUCUUUGGUCCAGUUAACACUUGAAGCUGUAAAGCGAAUUAUUAUUUUUCUCGAGAACGUCGUAAAUUUUCACUUACAAAUUACUCAUUUCCAAUACCAACAUGGAAUAAUAUGCAAUACCUUGGCCCUUUUUAUUCUCGUGACUUUAACAUAAAUGCCUCGCAUUUAAAUUUUGGGAAUAGACACAGGAAAUAAUGCUCUUGAUUCCUGGUUCGUUAAACAAGUUACAAAUAUUAUUUGAUGGAUGUUCUAAUGACAAGGCCUCAGAUGAAAAUUGGUUUUCAUUAGAUUAAAAUGAAGCUCCCAUUCUAUUUUUUUUUUUUUUUUUUUUUUUUUAGGUUUAGGAGGUAUUUUAAUACACUUGUGAUAGCAUGAAAUUGUUACGAUGACUGAAAUCCAGUAGACAAAACACGUAGCUAACAAGCGCUCUGUGUAUACGAGAUCACACAGAGCCACUUGUUAAAUUAACAUGUUAAUUACGUUGCAGCGAAUGAGCUUUAAGAGCGUGGGAACUCACUAUAUAAACUUUUGUUUAGCACUUCAGUCAAGGAAAAGCUUGUUUACAUUUUCCACUUCAAUUGAAAACCGGGUACUUUGUUUUCGGUUACCAAUCUGGAACAAACACCUAAAGGCAAAAUUCUUUCUCUUCACCCCCUGCAAAGCGAGAAAUGGAGGGAUAGAUAAGAAGUUCCUUUUUAGGCCAAGAAAACAACAAGUGGCCUACUCCACAAUGGGCCUUAAAUGGUGACUUCGACGGAAAAUUAAACAGCAGUUAUGAAAUGAUGAAAACAAACCAUGCAUGUACUUGUAGAAAUUAAUUUUUUUCUCCAUAAAACUUACUCUGUAUCUGUUUUACUGCAAUCCUGAAGCCUUGAUCUCUACUGUUGAAUCUUUUGGCCCUGUGACAAAAUGAUUAUCUUCAAAUUGUAUCGGUUGCCUAGAGCAAGCAUCUCAUUUUCCCUUUAGAACCAUGACUGAUUACGUUGUACAACCAAAAGUACAGCUAAACUUUAUGCUGUAAAUUUAACUUUAAUCUUGUGCAUCUAGCAGUAUCACUGAUAUAGAUAAUCAUUAUACAUGUAGAUGGUUCUCCUAACUAAAGUAAUAUAGUGUUUAAUAAUCACGAGUAUUUUUCGAAACAACUGCGUAACAUAUGGACGUUUGCCGAUUUCUUGCAAUAAGUCUAAGUUAUGAAUGCAUCUGCAUAAUGCUAUUUAUAAGAAAGCGAUAAAUCUUCGAGAAGUAUCCUUACGUAGACCAUGCUAAUGGAAAACGCAAAAGGCUUCAUGAAUUCAGUCAAUUUGGGUACAUUGUCAUCGGCAUUUGUUGUUAUUCUUUUCUGAAAUCCAAACAUCUUGUCAAUACAUUCCAUGUGCGCCGGGUUACAAAUUUGGUUAAUGACAUAACACGGCCAACUUUCGAAAACAAGGCUUUUGCCUUAAUGAGGCCACAUUUAGCUACCUUAAAGUUAUUUCGUUAAAUAGGUAAUUUGAUUUAUUGUCAAAUUCUCUCGCCUGCCCUUGGUGCUUCUAUAUACGAACCUUGGUGAGCCUAUAAACGGCUUGUGUCUCCUGAACUGAUGCAAAUAAAGUGAGGAAACUAAAACAUUUCAAAUGUCUAUGAACCCUGGAUUAUAAGUUGUAUAUUCUUUGGAUUUUUCUCUGUUUUUUGCUUUCGUUACAAUGGGCACAUUUGAAGAAAGUAAAGCAAAGAAUAAAGCGACUUAUUUUGCUAAAGCAGCCCAACAUACCUCCAGUUUUGGCCACCAUGCAUCUCAGUGAACCUCCUGAACGUCCGCUACUUAAAAGAACGCCUGAGUUACCCUGCCCCUUUCAUGACCCUAGUCAAAACUAAUUUUAUGGUCAUUGAAGUAGCUCGGGUAGCUUAAUCUGCAGUUACAUAUGCAGUCAUGAGCAAACCCACACCUUUAACCGUUCCUUAACUGGUUUGUUUUCAUACCAUGCACUCAGCGAACAAGGGAAUCCCAAGGCAUGGCCACGGCCUUGGCAAUUAUCAUGAUUAGAUGCUCAACUGGACACAAAUUGGAAAAUCAUUUCCAAUGAUUUACUUCUAUUAUUGGCAAGUGAAGUUGAGGUAUCUUCUUUUGUUUGGAAAACAUGUCGAGAAUUCAGAUCAAAUGGGUUGACGCAAUGUAAGGAAUUCGUCCAAGGAGGUAUUUGCAAGCUCGCAUUUACAAGACCUUUCGGGAAUGUACUGAGGAUCGUAACACCAGAAUACUGAAGGAGUUUUGUCUCAACCGAAAUCGUGGUCAAACCGUAAAGUUCUUCUCCAGAUGUAUGGCAAGUUACUUCUCUGACAGUGAAAUGGGAUAUAAACAUGACCGAUAGCGGAAUUAACGCAUUUUGGUGGUUCGCAUUCGUGACAAUUGCAAGAAACAACUUACAAUGAUUUUGCAACUCUAGGGGGUUGUAUUUUGGAGCUUGAUCAACACUGAAAAAUCGCAAGGAGAGAAAAUCUGCCGGACGAAGUUCUAUGCCCUUUUUAUUUUGACUGGAGUUCGAGUCUGAUAACCAAGCAGGAGCGCCAAAAACAUCACGAAUCCCUACCGAUGUAUACAGAAUACCUAGCACAGAGAUUUCCGACUUGGUGCAAGACUUCAAGUGCCAGAUUUCGAAGCGAUAAUUAACAGAUCAAAACACUGGUAACGUUAAUUAUACCAAGCCGCCGUCUCCAGGCAGAUGGAUCGAUCAGGCCACAGGAAUGCACUAACGUCAUGCACUGUAGUUUCUUUCCUCUCCAAAUCAAACAUUGAUCUCCCCUUGCAAAGAUAGCAUUUCGUCUGAACAAGCCUUUGACAGAUCAACUCUUGAGAGCUAUUAAAUGCAAGGUGAAGACUUGGUGGAGACGCCAACUUGGUUAGCAAUUGUUAAGGUGAACAAUGGUAAGUGGCUCUUGACGUUUGUGUUCAAUUUGGAUUUGUUAUUUUCUUUCUACAUUUGUCAUAUAUUUCGUUCUGCAAUUAAUUUUGAUGAAAAUAUUCGAAGUAAAGUAACCAACGUAUCUAUUCUGACAGCUUAAAUGUACCUUAAUGCUUAAUAACUAUUGACCUAUCAUAAUACGGGAAUCACCUUAGUUAUUUUAUACAUAAUCUAUCCUAAAGUUCUGUUUCAAAGCUAGCCCAAUGUCUCCCGGAACAAUUAAGGUGCACCAGCAAUGCCCCUAAGCCUGAGAACCAACAGAGGUGGGGUUUCUAAAGAAUGAAUGAAAAAUAGAAUUCCUAAAUUGACUGAGGUCUACUGCAAACUUAGUGGAAUCAGAAAUUCUUGAAGGGUCAUUGUAACCACAACCGUUUGCCCACAAUUUUGAGUAACAUGAGGGUGGGUGACAUGAGGAUGAGAUUACAUGAUUGUAAAAUUAAUUCAAAUUGCCAAGCCUCUGUUCAGUAAGAGAUCAAAGAUGACUUAAAAAUGUGGCCGAGGAAACAAAUUAAACAAAUCCUGAAAUGCUAUCACCAAUAUCUGCAAUGUGGACCUCCAACAUUGGUACAGAUUGUCGCGUUUCUCUACAUUUCAGCAAAAAAAAACAAAACACCCAUUUUAACAAAAUAGAGAACGUUGGAAGAAGACUUUUAAAACUCAGGAAAUAACGAGGAUUUUCGAUUAUUUAAUAAUCUUUAGGGCGAAGACAAAUAAUCGCAAAUAUUACAUGUUUUGAAAAUAUUUUAAACAAAGGCCAGAUUGUUUCCGGACUGUCAGAUUGCUUCCGGAUUCCAUUUUUCAUCACCUGUCUUUUCUAUUUGAUAUAUGGUGUCGAAAACCACGUCUGGUAAUUGACGCUAGGGCGGAUUGGGUGUGGUGAGUAAAAAUGUUUCUAGUAAAUGUGCAUUUGCUAAACAGCAACUAGAAAUUGAAAGGUAAAUUCAUGCUUUGUGACCAUCCAAACCGUGAACGUGAUACAGUACAGUUUAAACAAAUUACGUGCUUUAUUUUUUUUGUUCUUUUCAACUUGCGUGAUACUUCAUACUGUUUAGGUCUUAUAUAUACGUUAUCUUGCUUACAACCUUUAGGUUGCUAUUUAAAUCCAUUAUUCAUAUUGUGUUUCAGUCAUCAUAAAUUGUGAAUGAACAAUUAGUCUUCCGCCUACAUUCGGGACUAUUUAUCAGUUUGCAGCGUCAUAUAAGCCGACUGCCUCUGUACAUGAAGAACUGGGAUCAGUUCUAUGGAAAAUAUUUACACUAGUGUUAUGUUUCUUAUUACUUAGACUUAAUAAGAGAAAUUGAUUUACAAUAUUUAGAAGUGUCCAAAGCCGUUUAAAUCUAUACACAGGUAAUCCCUUUUACAUAUAAUCACCUCCCUUUAUGCACACAGUUUAUACGCCGUUGGUUUCGCUGUUUUAUAACCUCUAAGUGACCUAGCGUUGACCAUAGGGUUUGUUAUUAUGCUUUGCCUUUUUGUUUCAACAAACGACAUUUGAUGUCUGCGAAAAAGAACAAAAUUAACUAAACGUAAAUUGCUCAUGGAACCGCAACACGCCGUAGGCAACAUCGGUCUAAUUCAUGUUAAUUUUAAUUGCCUUUUGCAAUGAAAAACAUCUCAAGAUCAAUGCAUAGCUCUAUAGCUCGCAAAUAUUCUUAACGACAUCAACCUAUUUGAUAUUAAAAAUUGACCGUAACGAUUUUUCUUACCAUGUUUUCAGUUAAUCGUGCUUCCCUGCGAAACCGGCUUCCAAGAAGAUUGCACGCUGUUGCGCAAUAAUGAGCUGCUCUUUGCAUGAUAUAUAAAUUUCAAUCAUACAACGUUAUCUGCCCCUGAUAACACGUUAUCAUGUACUGUGAAGAAACCCAAUGUUACCUGCAUGCAGUUGGGUACAAAAGUAAAACCACAAAAUUAAUAGACGGCCUGGUAUAUUACAAACCACGUAACGCAACAAUAAACUGUCUUAAGUUAACUUCCACCUUAAGUCUAAUUAUUGCUCGGCGAUAUUCACGUCUUUUUCAAGAGCCCUUCGAAACUUUUCCAAACUCUAAAUAUAUAUAUAUAUAUUUUUUUUUUUAACGGCUUCUUCUCUAAUCCCACUCCAAUAUUACUGAGCUAGUACUCGGUUGAUGUUUUUAAAUCCACGCAAGUCGCGACGUCAGCACCAUUCUCUUUACAAGACGAAAACUCUUUGCUUCACUUCAAAACUUCGCACGACGGAUAUAUAAUGUCAGCCGUUUAAACACGGUCUGCAGGCGCAUUUCUUUGCUUCUGGGUAGCGAAUCACUUUUAUUACUCCGUGGCAGUUCACUGAUUUUUCUUUGAUAGUAGCUUCGAUGGGUGCA
RNAcentral lists this unclassified non-coding RNA (10759 nucleotides) under Orbicella faveolata. RNAcentral's name for it is "serine protease 23-like, transcript variant X3". The record is from RNAcentral. Lineage: Eukaryota; Metazoa; Cnidaria; Anthozoa; Scleractinia; Merulinidae.